GCCGCGGUCGCAUAACCUGGUAGUGCGCCAGCCUCGAGAGCUGGUGCCCGAAAGGGCUUCCCGGUUCAAAUCCGGGUCGCGGCG
Molecule: transfer RNA, 84 nt
Filed under: Candidatus Woesearchaeota archaeon
Lineage: Archaea; Nanobdellati; Candidatus Woesearchaeota
Description: tRNA-Ser
Rfam family: tRNA
About the family: Transfer RNA (tRNA) molecules are approximately 80 nucleotides in length. Their secondary structure includes four short double-helical elements and three loops (D, anti-codon, and T loops).
Source: RNAcentral